GGGGAAUAUUGGACAAUGGGGGAAACCCUGAUCCAGCCAUGCCGCGUGAGUGAUGAAGGCCUUAGGGUUGUAAAGCUCUUUCACCCACGACGAUGAUGACGGUAGUGGGAGAAGAAGCCCCGGCUAACUCCGUGCCAGCAGCCGCGGUAAUACGGAGGGGGCAAGCGUUGUUCGGAAUUACUGGGCGUAAAGGGCGCGUAGGCGGUCCGUCGCGUCAGGUGUGAAAGCCCCGGGCUCAACCUGGGAGGUGCACUUGAUACGGGCAGGCUCGAGUCCGAGAGAGGUGAGUGGAAUUCCCAGUGUAGAGGUGAAAUUCGUAGAUAUUGGGAAGAACACCAGUGGCGAAGGCGGCUCACUGGCUCGGAACUGACGCUGAGGCGCGAAAGCGUGGGGAGCAAAC
This 400-nucleotide ribosomal RNA is filed under the name uncultured bacterium. RNAcentral describes it as "bacterial SSU rRNA". It matches the Rfam family "Bacterial small subunit ribosomal RNA", at positions 356 to 773 of the family's 1533-position model. The record is from RNAcentral.